UACGUAGGGGGCAAGCGUUGUCCGGAUUUAUUGGGCGUAAAGAGCGUGUAGGCGGCUUUGCAAGUCCGUUGUGAAAACUCGAGGCUCAACCUCGAGACGCCGGUGGAAACUGCAAAGCUAGAGUCCGGAAGAGGAGACUGGAAUUCCUGGUGUAGCGGUGGAAUGCGCAGAUAUCAGGAGGAACACCGGUGGCGAAGGCGGGUCUCUGGGCAGUAACUGACGCUGAGGAGCGAAAGCGUGGGGAGCGAACAGG
RNAcentral lists this ribosomal RNA (253 nucleotides) under uncultured bacterium. RNAcentral describes it as "partial 16S ribosomal RNA". It matches the Rfam family "Bacterial small subunit ribosomal RNA", at positions 524 to 776 of the family's 1533-position model. The record is from RNAcentral.